ACGGGUGAGUAAUGUCUGGGAAACUGCCCGAUGGAGGGGGAUAACUACUGGAAACGGUAGCUAAUACCGCAUAACGUCUUCGGACCAAAGUGGGGGACCUUCGGGCCUCACACCAUCGGAUGUGCCCAGAUGGGAUUAGCUAGUAGGUGGGGUAACGGCUCACCUAGGCGACGAUCCCUAGCUGGUCUGAGAGGAUGACCAGCCACACUGGAACUGAGACACGGUCCAGACUCCUACGGGAGGCAGCAGUGGGGAAUAUUGCACAAUGGGCGCAAGCCUGAUGCAGCCAUGCCGCGUGUAUGAAGAAGGCCUUCGGGUUGUAAAGUACUUUCAGCGGGGAGGAAGGCGAUGUGGUUAAUAACCGCGUCGAUUGACGUUACCCGCAGAAGAAGCACCGGCUAACUCCGUGCCAGCAGCCGCGGUAAUACGGAGGGUGCAAGCGUUAAUCGGAAUUACUGGGCGUAAAGCGCACGCAGGCGGUCUGUCAAGUCGGAUGUGAAAUCCCCGGGCUUAACCUGGGAACUGCAUUCGAAACUGGCAGGCUUGAGUCUCGUAGAGGGGGGUAGAAUUCCAGGUGUAGC
Molecule: ribosomal RNA, 581 nt
Filed under: uncultured bacterium
Lineage: Bacteria
Description: bacterial SSU rRNA
Rfam family: Bacterial small subunit ribosomal RNA
Source: RNAcentral